RNAcentral lists this ribosomal RNA (259 nucleotides) under uncultured bacterium. RNAcentral describes it as "partial 16S ribosomal RNA". It matches the Rfam family "Bacterial small subunit ribosomal RNA", at positions 524 to 776 of the family's 1533-position model. The record is from RNAcentral.
UACAGAGGGUGCGAGCGUUUAAUCGGAAUUACUGGGGCGUAAAAGCGUGCGCAGACGGUCACGUAAGUCGGGGCGUGAAAGCCCCCGGGGCUCAACCUGGGAAUUGCAUUCGAGACUGCGUGGCUAGGGUGCGGAAGAGGGAAGCGGAAUUUCUGGUGUAGCGGUGAAAUGCGUAGAUAUCAGAAGGAACAUCAGUGGCGAAAGCGGCUUCCUGGUCCAGUACCGACGUUCAGGCACGAAAGCGUGGGGAGCAAACAGG